This is a long non-coding RNA of Hippocampus comes (tiger tail seahorse), 140 nucleotides long. RefSeq lists it as uncharacterized. The record is from RefSeq and is a predicted model, not a curated record. NCBI's taxonomy places the organism in Eukaryota, Metazoa, Chordata, Actinopteri, Syngnathiformes, Syngnathidae. The transcript has 3 exons.
UCCGUUCAACAGACCAUCCCUCAACGAGAGAAAAAGAGGCUGCAGUUGGGAAAGAGUUUUUUGGUCCCGCCAGACCUCAUAAACGAACGUGCUCUCAGAUAAAAGAUUCCAAACUGCACGAUUGUCUCAAGCAAUUCUGU